GCUAAUUCAAAAAGUUAUCACAAUAUAAAAUGCAUAAAAUAUCAUUAAAAAACAUAUAUAAAAUCAAUUCUAGUUUUGGUUGUUUAAUUCAAUAAGGUUCAGUGUCCGAAUAUUGACAAAGAUCCAAAAUCAUACCAUAACAGUAAAUUAAGUUCGAUUCAGUUCCUAUAAUGUCAGGAAUUUUUCAGUUCUGAAACUUUGUUCGCUUCGUUUUUGGAUUCAAUUCAGGAAUCCUGAGAACCAUGCAACCCUAAAUAGUAGGAUUUGUUAUUAGUCUAUAAAUACCUAUG
Molecule: unclassified non-coding RNA, 290 nt
Filed under: Hevea brasiliensis (rubber tree)
Lineage: Eukaryota; Viridiplantae; Streptophyta; Magnoliopsida; Malpighiales; Euphorbiaceae
Source: RNAcentral